RNAcentral lists this ribosomal RNA (248 nucleotides) under uncultured euryarchaeote. Its description in RNAcentral is "partial 16S ribosomal RNA". It matches the Rfam family "Archaeal small subunit ribosomal RNA", at positions 478 to 725 of the family's 1478-position model. Lineage: Archaea; Methanobacteriati; Methanobacteriota. The record is from RNAcentral.
GGCGGCUCGAGUGGUAACCGUUAUUAUUGGGUCUAAAGGGUCUGUAGCCGGCCGGAUAAGUCUCUUGGGAAAUCUGGCAGCUUAACUGUCAGGCUUUCAGGGGAUACUGUCUGGCUCGAGGCCGGGAGAGGUGAGAGGUACUUCAGGGGUAGGGGUGAAAUCUUGUAAUCCUUGAAGGACCACCAGUGGCGAAGGCGUCUCACCAGAACGGACCUGACGGCAAGGGACGAAAGCUAGGGGCACGAACC